Molecule: ribosomal RNA, 253 nt
Filed under: uncultured bacterium
Lineage: Bacteria
Description: partial 16S ribosomal RNA
Rfam family: Bacterial small subunit ribosomal RNA
Source: RNAcentral
UACGGAGGGGACUAGCGUUGUUCGGAAUUACUGGGCGUAAAGCGCACGUAGGCGGAUUUGUAAGUCAGGGGUGAAAUCCCGGGGCUCAACCUCGGAACUGCCUUUGAUACUGCAAAUCUCGAGUCCGGAAGAGGUGAGUGGAAUUCCUAGUGUAGAGGUGAAAUUCGUAGAUAUCAGGAGGAACACCAAUUGCGAAGGCAGCUCGCUGGGACGUUACUGACACUGAGGCGCGAAAGCGUGGGGAGCGAACAGG